This is a long non-coding RNA of Mirounga angustirostris (Northern elephant seal), 533 nucleotides long. RefSeq lists it as uncharacterized. NCBI's taxonomy places the organism in Eukaryota, Metazoa, Chordata, Mammalia, Carnivora, Phocidae. The transcript is spliced from 3 exons. The record is from RefSeq and is a predicted model, not a curated record.
GCCCCUGGGACUGGUGGUUCGCGCGGGCGGCCAGAGCGGUCCUUCCGCUUCAGCCCGCCCAGUCGGCCACCGACGGGAGCGGUCGUGGGCGUGUGCGGUACGGCGAAGCGCCUUCCGGAAAAUUGUUCCUCAUCAGACGCGCGACCUCGCUUCCGCGUACGGUGCUGCCGGGUGUGAAAAACACUCCUGUGCAAAUUUUAUUCAUUUGAGAGCGAGCGAGCAGGAGCAGAGGGAAAAGCCGACUCCCCGCUGAGCCAGGAGCCCGACGACAUGGGGCUCCAUCCCAGGACCCGGAGAUCACGACCCCAGUGGAAGGCAGACGCUUAACCGUCUGAGCCACCCAGAUUUUAUUCAUUCACUUGAGAAAGUGAAAGCAAGGGAGGUCACAGAGGGAGAAGCAGACUCGCCGCUAAGUGGAGAGCCGGACAUGGGGCUCAAUCCCAGGACCCUGAGAUCAUGACCUGAGCUGAAGGCAGACCCUUAACCGACUGAGCCACCCAGGCACCCCAAUGUAGUUGUAUCUUAAACAUAUU